CGGCCGCAGUAUUUUAACCGCGCGAAGGUAGCGUAAUCACUUGUUUUUUAAAUAAAGACUAGUAUGAACGGCCAUACGAGGACUUAACUGUCUCCUUUGUCCAAUCAGUGAAACUGAUCUCCCCGUGCAGAAGCGGGGAUAACACCAUAAGACGAGAAGACCCUAUGGAGCUUAAAACCGAACCAACUAUCCUUUAUUACUUCCACGGAACUAACAAACAUCAGGAUAUAUUUGAUGUAGGUUUUGGGUUGGGGUGACCAUGAAGAAAAACUAAACCUUCCUGACGAUUUACAAACCAAGAGCUCCAGCUCCAAGUAUUAAGACACUUAACCUUCAUUGACCCACUUUGUGAUCAACGAACCAAGUUACCCUAGGGAUAACAGCGCAAUCCACUUCAAGAGUCCUUAUCGACAAGUGGGUUUACGACCUCGAUGUUGGAUCAGGGCACCCAAGUGGUGCAACCGCUACUAAAGGUUCGUUUGUUCAACGAUUAAAGCCCUACGUGAUC
RNAcentral lists this ribosomal RNA (508 nucleotides) under Pelobatrachus edwardinae. Its description in RNAcentral is "partial large subunit ribosomal RNA". It matches the Rfam family "Bacterial large subunit ribosomal RNA", at positions 1928 to 2605 of the family's 2925-position model. Lineage: Eukaryota; Metazoa; Chordata; Amphibia; Anura; Megophryidae. The record is from RNAcentral.